GAUGAACGCUGACAGAAUGCUUAACACAUGCAAGUCAUUGGCGAAGCUGCGCUUGCGCAGUCUAGCCAAGGCGGACGGGUGAGUAACGCGUAAGGAACUUGCCCUGCAGACAGGGAUAACAGACGGAAACGACUGAUAACACCUGGUAUUGUCAGGCUGGCGCAUGCCGGCCUGAUGAAAGGAGACGCUGCAGGAGAGCCUUGCGUCCUAUUAGCUAGUUGGUGGGGUAACGGCCCACCAAGGCGAUGAUAGGUAGCCGGCCUGAGAGGGUGAACGGCCACAAGGGGACUGAGAUACGGCCCUUACUCCUACGGGAGGCAGCAGUGGGGAAUAUUGGACAAUGGGGGCAACCCUGAUCCAGCAAUUCUGUGUGAACGAAGAAGGUUUUCGGAUUGUAAAGUGCUUUCAGCAGGGAAGAAGAAAGUGACGGUACCUGCAGAAGAAGCGACGGCUAAAUACGUG
Molecule: ribosomal RNA, 462 nt
Filed under: uncultured bacterium
Lineage: Bacteria
Description: partial 16S ribosomal RNA
Rfam family: Bacterial small subunit ribosomal RNA
Source: RNAcentral